RNAcentral lists this ribosomal RNA (442 nucleotides) under Schmidingerella taraikaensis. Its description in RNAcentral is "partial Bacterial small subunit ribosomal RNA". It matches the Rfam family "Bacterial small subunit ribosomal RNA", at positions 1069 to 1511 of the family's 1533-position model. Lineage: Eukaryota; Ciliophora; Spirotrichea; Tintinnida; Rhabdonellidae. The record is from RNAcentral.
GAGAUGUUGGGUUAAGUCCCGCAACGAGCGCAACCCUCGUCCUUAGUUGCCAUCAUUAAGUUGGGCACUUUAAGGAAACUGCCGGUGAUAAGCCGGAGGAAGGUGGGGAUGACGUCAAGUCCUCAUGGCCCUUACAGGCUGGGCUACACACGUGCUACAAUGGCAUCUACAGUGGGCAGCUAUUCCGCAAGGAUGCGCUAAUCUCCAAAAGAUGUCUCAGUUCGGAUUGUCCUCUGCAACUCGAGGGCAUGAAGGCGGAAUCGCUAGUAAUCGCGGAUCAGCAUGCCGCGGUGAAUACGUUCCCGGGCCUUGUACACACCGCCCGUCACACCAUGGGAGUUGGAUUCACUCGAAGGCGUUGAGCUAACCCGCAAGGGAGGCAGGCGACCACAGUGGGUUUAGCGACUGGGGUGAAGUCGGAACAAGGUAGCCGUAGGGGAAC